RNAcentral lists this unclassified non-coding RNA (207 nucleotides) under soil metagenome. Its description in RNAcentral is "partial contains 5.8S ribosomal RNA, internal transcribed spacer 2, and large subunit ribosomal RNA". The record is from RNAcentral.
AACAUCGCGCACCUGCGGGAACCUGCGGAGGGAUCAUUACCGAGUUUACAACUCCCAAACCCCUGUGAACAUACCUAUACGUUGCCUCGGCGGAUCAGCCCGCGCCCCGUAAAACGGGACGGCCCGCCCGAGGACCCCUAAACUCUGUUUUUAGUGGAACUUCUGAGUAAAACAAACAAAUAAAUCAAAACUUUUAACAACGGAUCU